This 487-nucleotide ribosomal RNA is filed under the name uncultured bacterium. Its description in RNAcentral is "bacterial SSU rRNA". It matches the Rfam family "Bacterial small subunit ribosomal RNA", at positions 30 to 507 of the family's 1533-position model. The record is from RNAcentral.
AUUGAACGCUGGCGGCAUGCCUUACACACGCAAGUCGAACGGCAGCACGGGAGCAAUCCGUGGUGGCGAGUGGCGAACGGGUGAGUAAUGUAUCGGAACGUACCUUUCAGUGGGGGAUAACGUAGCGAAAGUUACGCUAAUACCGCAUAUUCUGUGAGCAGGAAAGCAGGGGAUCGCAAGACCUUGCGCUGAUUGAGCGGCCGAUAUCAGAUUAGCUAGUUGGUGAGGUAAAGGCUCACCAAGGCGACGAUCUGUAGCGGGGUCUGAGAGGAUGAUCCGCCACACUGGAACUGAGACACGGUCCAGACUCCUACGGGAGGCAGCAGUGGGGAAUUUUUGGACAAUGGGCGCAAGCCUGAUCCAGCCAUGCCGCGUGAGUGAAGAAGGCCUUCGGGUUGUAAAGCUCUUUCAGCCGGGAAGAAAACGCAUGGGUUAAUACCCUGUGUGGAUGACGGUACCGGAAUAAGAAGCACCGGCUAACUACGUG